Molecule: transfer RNA, 68 nt
Filed under: Starksia nanodes (dwarf blenny)
Lineage: Eukaryota; Metazoa; Chordata; Actinopteri; Blenniiformes; Labrisomidae
Description: tRNA-Tyr
Rfam family: tRNA
About the family: Transfer RNA (tRNA) molecules are approximately 80 nucleotides in length. Their secondary structure includes four short double-helical elements and three loops (D, anti-codon, and T loops). Further hydrogen bonds mediate the characteristic L-shaped molecular structure. tRNAs have two regions of fundamental functional importance: the anti-codon, which is responsible for specific mRNA codon recognition, and the 3' end, to which the tRNAs corresponding amino acid is attached (by aminoacyl-tRNA synthetases). tRNAs cope with the degeneracy of the genetic code in two manners: having more than one tRNA (with a specific anti-codon) for a particular amino acid; and 'wobble' base-pairing, i.e. permitting non-standard base-pairing at the 3rd anti-codon position.
Source: RNAcentral
GGUAGGAUGGCUGAGACAAGCGGUGGAUUGUAACCCCACAUACAGAGGUGUGAGUCCUCUUCUUAUCA